GUAUGACGCAGAGGGGCCCAUACAUGUCCAACUUCUUUUAUUUUAUUUUUCUUUCACUUUACUUAUAAAUACAAGUACUCUUCAUUUCAUUAUUUCACAAACCAAGAUUACUUUCUAUUCGGUAAAUGUUUUACUUUCGUUUAAUUUAAAACUUUAAAAUGUGUUUUUUUAUAUAUAUGUUUAAUUAACUUUUCAUUUUCUUCAGGUUAUCUCAUACAAUUGCAUCCACUAAGCAAUUAAAAAAAACAGGUACGUUUUUAUUUUGUUUCUUCAAUAAUUUAUGAAACUUUUGAUUUGUUAAAAGUAAGUU
Molecule: long non-coding RNA, 310 nt
Filed under: Brassica napus (rape)
Lineage: Eukaryota; Viridiplantae; Streptophyta; Magnoliopsida; Brassicales; Brassicaceae
Description: long non-coding RNA (BNAP_LNC004113)
Source: RNAcentral